Zingiber officinale is the source of this 2883-nucleotide RNA transcript. RefSeq lists it as uncharacterized. Lineage: Eukaryota; Viridiplantae; Streptophyta; Magnoliopsida; Zingiberales; Zingiberaceae. The record is from RefSeq and is a predicted model, not a curated record. The transcript is spliced from 2 exons.
AUUAAUUUUUUACUUUUGUAAUAUGUUUAAAAAUAUUACAAGUCUUUUAUUUUAAAAAUUUGGACAUGUUUAUGAUUCCUAAUAAAACACUUAUAAUCUUGUGCAAUUCUGAUCAAUCUAAAUUGAGAAAGAUAAAUUAAUAUUUUUAAGAGAUUGUUUCAAAUUUCAUAAGUUGUUGUUUAUAGUUUAUAUACUUAAUUUGUAAAUUUACAAUGAUAAAUACAUUUUUGACAUUAUAAAAUGAUGAUCAUUACCUAGAAAUGAAUAUUAUCCUUACUUUUUUUUAUAAUGCAUAGGUAAUGGCACCAAAACAACAAUCUCAUGAUCCAGCUUGGAGACACGCACGUCGAUUAGAAAAUCGAUUCCAUUGGCAAUGUUUGCAUUGCGAUAUGAUUGGAUGCGGCGGCGGGGUCACACGCCUAAAACAACAUCUUGCUGGUGGAUAUCCGGAUGUUUCUAAUUGUCCAAAAGUUUCUCAAGAAGUGCGUCGUGCAAUGAAAGAGGAACUUGAUGGCAAAAAAGCAUUAAAGUAUAAACAACAACGAGAACGGGAACUUGUUGAUAGUCGAAGCUCUAAAGAACCAAUCUAUGAUGAAAUGGAAGGUCGUGGUGAAGUUCCAAAUGACGAAGACUUUUUAGCAGCUCUCAAUGCCUCUCGAACUCAAUAUGACUAUGAGCAAAAUAUGCAACAUAGAAGUAGCUCUGGUGCUAGUGGAAGUGGCUCAACUACUGCAUCAACAUUAGGAAGGAGUGCAAGUGUUCGUAUUACUUCAACACAAGGUGGUAUUGGUCGUUUUUUUUCUUCUAUGGGACGAAGACGUGCAAUUGAUAUUGCUGAUAUUGAUCCACUAGCAUUUCCAGACCAAGCUAGGAAGCAGACUAGGAUUGAUGAUGCAUAUUCAAAAGAGAAGAAGAAAUCAAUCGGUAAAAGUAUUGCUAAAUUUUUCCAUUUUAAUCAUAUUCCUCCUAAUGCAGCAAACAACACAUACUACCGUAGCAUGGUGUCCAACAUCCAAAAAUCUGGUCCUGGUAUUCAACCUCCGACUGCAUAUGAAAUUGCCGGCCCAUAUUUAGAUGAACAAGUGGAGGAGAUCAAGACUUGGAUCCUAUCAUGCAAGAAACAAUGGAGCUUAUAUGAGGUUACGUUGAUGUAUGAUGGCUGGACAGGACCUACACGGAUGAGCAUCAUCAACUUUCUACUAUACUACAAUAGAAAGGUGAUAUUUCAUAAAUCUAUUGAUGCAACUACAGAGUAUCAUGAUGCACCCUACAUAUUUUGUUUGAUGGAUAGUGUAGUUCACGAGAUAGGUGCAGAACAUAUAGUACAGGUGAUUACAGAUAAUGAUGUCAACUUUAAAAGGGCUGGAGAGAUAUUGGAGCAAAGGUAUCAAACAUUAUUUUGGACACCAUGCGCAGCACACUGUAUCGAUUUGAUGAUGGCAGAUAUCGGUAAGCUCGAUAUAGUGAAGAAGGUAGUGAAAAAAGGUCAAUCUUUAACAAAAUUCAUCUAUAAUCAUCAUUGGGUUCAUGGAUUAAUGAGGAAAUUUAUUAAUGGGGAGAUUCUGCGACCAGGAGUGACUAGAUUUGCCACUCACUUUCUACUGUUAAAAUCGUUGAAUCAGAAAAAAGUCGGAUUAAAGGCCAUGUUCUCUUCUGAGAAUUGGGAAGCCUCUCGAUAUUCUAACACGACUGAAGGUAAGGAGGUGCAAAAAAUUAUUAUGUCUGUCAGAUUUUGGGACUAUAUUGCAGAUAUUCUUAUAGCAGUAGAACCAUUGUACGUUGUUCUACGUAAAGUUGAUAUGGACAAGAAGCCACAAAUGGGCAACGUUUACUGCCUAAGCAAAAGAGGAAAUUAAGAGGCGUCUACAAUUACCGACCAAGUAUCAACAUUACAUUGAUAUAAUCACUAAAAGAUGGGAUGAUCAAAUGGGAAAACCUAUUCAUUUGACCGGUACGUAUUUUUUAAUGAUAACGAAUUUUUAAUAUUGUUAUUAAUAAUUAUAUAUGUUUAAUUAUUAUAGGUUAUUAUCUCAAUCCGGCAUAUCAAUAUCGUUAUAAUCUUGGCACAAAUGAUGAUUUAUUAGUGGCCCUCAGACAUUAAUAUCAAGACUGCAUACAAACACAGAAUCAAUUGCUGAGACUAUUAAUGAAAGUCGAUUAUUUCGAGAGGCAUAUGGUUCUUUUAGUGAUCCUAUUGCAGUUUCAUGCAGAUAUAAAAUGGAUGCAGCUGAGUGGUGGUUACAAUAUGGAGGAUCAGCUCCAAAUUUGAAAAAGAUUGCAGUACGAAUUCUCUCACAGACAACGUCUUCAAGCGGUUGUGAAAGAAAUUGGUCAACUUUCUCCCUCAUUCAUACAAAAGUACGAAAUCGUCUUUCUUAUCGUCGCUUGGAGAAGAUGGUCUACGUUCAUUAUAAUAUGCGUCUUCAACUAAGAGCAAUAACAGAAGAGAAUGAAGAACAGGAGUCUGGUGAUGUAGACCCAUUUGAUAUUGGAUUUGUCCAGACUGAGAAUGAUCCAAUGAUGGAUUGGUGGAGCGCUGUUGAGGCUGAGAAUCCAUUACUUGAUGAAGCAGGAGACCCACCACGACCAUCUCAAUUUCUUACUCAACAGAUUGAAAAAAUACAAGCUAGAGGAGAUAUCUGCGAGGAAGAAGAUGAUGAAGCUUUUGAUCAAGAAUUUCGAUUUUCUGGAUCUCGGUCUAGGCGUUCUCAAACAUCACAAACCCAACCAAAGUCCAUAGAUAAAGGCAAAGGCAAAGCUCUUGCAAUUUUUACUAAAAAGAAAGAAAAAGGCAAACCUCCUACUUUUAUGGGAAGUGGUCCAUUUAGAAUUAAAGACAAUCCACUCGAUGCAAUUGAUGAGCAAGAACAUGAUGACAGUGAU